UCACUGAAAGUGAGAGUUGGAGGAAAACAAACAGAUCAUGGCUAACUAAUCAUGGUCACCGAUCAGCUUGUUUUCCUCCAAUAUCUCACCUUCAGUUG
Triticum urartu is the source of this 98-nucleotide non-coding RNA. NCBI's taxonomy places the organism in Eukaryota, Viridiplantae, Streptophyta, Magnoliopsida, Poales, Poaceae. The record is from Rfam.